Long non-coding RNA from Bos taurus (domestic cattle), 5798 nucleotides. The record is from Ensembl. NCBI's taxonomy places the organism in Eukaryota, Metazoa, Chordata, Mammalia, Artiodactyla, Bovidae.
CUCUUGAUGUGUGUCAGAAUGGAUCUUCUGAGUGCAAACAGUGACCUCUUGAUAACAAUUGACCAAGUCCUGGACUCUUGCUGCUGAGAUGAACAUUCUUCACUCCUGAUAAACAGGAUAUCGGACUCCCCUCAGAGAUGAUGCCUGCUCACCUGACUCCAUCCCAGAUCACAGCAACCCUUUCUGGUACAGAUGGAAUCAGAAUACAUUUCACCCGAGUCCUGUUUCAAGUGCCAGUACUACCUUUACUGGGUUAGUGAAGCCAGAUCAAGCCUGAGACACCCCAAGGAGCUAAAGAUAUGGCCCUGGUGGUUGUGAGCAGUCCAAGUCCUCAGGCAGCAGCUCUCAACCCUGGCAGGUGGUACAGAGACCAUGCGGGAACUUGAAGGUAUUGCCUGGCCCAGCCCCACCUCUCCUGUCCAGGUCUCAUUGGUGAGGAAGUGUCCUGGCAUUGAUAUUCAUCAGACACCUAUUAUGGGCAGUAGAGACGAGAACCCCUGGAAUAGCUUAUCUCAAGUUUUGUCCACAUCAGAAUCGUCUGGGGGUUGGGGGGUGUUUCCCUAGCCCCAGUUGUUCAGUCCCUCAUCUAGUUUCUUUUUUGGAAAAGUAAUUUUAUUUAUUGAUUUUUUGGCUGCCCUGGAUCUUUGUUGCCGCACGGGCUUUUCGCUGGUUGCAGUGAGCGGAGGCCCACUCUCUAGCUGUGGUACAUGGGCUUUUCAGUGCAGCGGCUUCUCGUCGAGCACACGCUCUAGGCACGUGGGCUUCAGCAGUUGUGAUGCUGUGGCUGCGGUUCCUGAGCUCUAGAGCACAAGUGCAAUAGUUGUGGCACAAAAGUUCAGUUGCUCUGUGGCACGUGGGAUUUUCCCAUAUCAGGGAUCGAACCCAUGUCUCCUGUGUCUCCUACAUCGGCAGGCAGAUUCUUUACCACUGAGCCACCUGGGAAGCCCCCUCCUCUAGUUUCUGAUUGAAUGCUCUGAGGUGGGGGUUCAGAAUCUGCAUUCUCUGAAUAUUAGGGUAUUAUUUAUUUUUUUUGAUCUCGCCAUGUGCCCUGCAGGAUCUUAGUUCCCUAAGCAGGGAUUGAACCUGUGCUCCCUGCAGUGAAAGCACAGAGUCCAAACCACUGAACCAGGCAAGUCCCCAGAAUCUGCGUUUCUAACGAGCUCCCAGGAUGCUCUGAUGUUCUCCAGGCCACACUUUGAGAAUUCCUGCCCCAGGGCUUGGUCACAGCCUCCCUGAUUCUUGCUGAGCCAGUGCCCUCUGCUUCCUAGCCGUGACCCUUGGUCCCCCUUCCUCCAGCUGGGGCACUUGCUAUGCCCUCUAUACUGGUAUGGCCUUCGCUGAGCUCUGGGUUAGCCCUGACAAGAUAGAGAAAAAAGUGUUUUUCUCUGCUUUUCUCAACCCAGAGGAGAUUGGAGUGCUUCAAAAGGCGUUCUAUCUGGGGGAGAAAUGGGUUCCCUGAAGAACUGAUGCUUUCAAACUGUGGUGCUGGAGAAGACUCUUGAGAGUCCCUUGGACUGCAGGGAGAGCAACCCAGUCAAUCCUAUAGGAAACCAACCCUGAAUAUUCAUUGGAAGGACUGAUGCUGAAGCUCCAAGACUUUGGCCACCUGAUAUGAAGAGCCGACUCACUGAAAAAGAUCUGAUGCUAGGAAAGAUUGAGGGCAAGAGGAGAAGGGGACGACAAAGGAUGAGAUGGUUGGAUGGCCUCGUCGCCUCAACGGACAUGAGUUUGAGCAAACUCCAGGAGAUGGUGAAGGACAGGGAAGCCUGGCAUGCUGCAGUCCAUUGAGUUGCAAAGAGUCAGACAUGACUGGGUGACUGAACGAUAGCAACGACGACAAAGGGGGGAACUGAGCGCAUGGCAGGGAACACAUUUGGGGGUGGCUGGGGUGUGGGCUCUGGGCUGGUUGGUUUGUAUUUGAGAGGCACAUUUGUGGGUUUGUGGUUGGAACCUCUAGGAACUGGCUAGUCCACGGAAGGGUCAGAGAGGCCCCAGAUGUCAAAGCUAAAACACAGACCUGAUUAAUGUAAGACUUGGUUAAUCCAGGAUGGUUCGCAGAGAAAUGGGCAGUGGGGAGUGGUGUUGGCUCUGAGCUUCAGAUCCAUUUUAAAGUCUCUCUCCUAAAAGCACUGUCUGGUCUAUAAAUUAUGCGCUGGGGUGUCACUGCCUCUUGUCCUCCAAGCUCAGCCAGUCUCUCCGAUGCCAGAUUAGGGGUAUCCCCUUCCUUUUCCUCUAUAGGUGAGGAAGGGGGUCCCUUGCUCAGGGUUCAUGGACUGAGACCAGCUGUUGCCAUGCGAGGUCAUAGACCCCUUACAAGCCCUCAGGGGACAAGUGUAACAGUGUGGGGUGUGCUGGGGCAGGGGGGUGACCAGAGCCACAUGGAAGGUACCUCCUGACGGGACACCAAGGAAUCUCUUCGUGUGAUUCACUGCACCAGAGCCUUCCUUCCAGCUGCCAAAGCCUGCGGAGCCCGCCUGUGACAGCCUGCCUGGGGGGCUGGAGUGUCCCGAAGACGACAAAUCAAAGCUGGCUCAGCCCGAAGCCUGCAUGCCUUUUGGGAGGGCUGGCAGGUGCCGUGCCCAGGUGGGGUUUCUUAUGUAACGUGACACAUGCAUGAGCCGGCCGUGGGUGCACCCGGGGCCGGCAGGGUGACUCAGGCCCCGCCAUCACUGCUUCCCAGAAACGUGGCACUCGGGUGUCAGCUGAGCAAGUGUCUGUGUGUCACUGUGAUUGUUAGAAAGCAAAGGAGGGUCCCAUGAUGCAGCGGGAGCGGGGGUGGGGGCGGACUGUGGAGACUGCAGGGUAUCAAGGCCAAAGGAGGUGGGUGGUGUGGGAUGGGGAGGCAAGAUCUGGAAACUUCCCUUUCCAUUUGGACCAGACUGGGAGGUAAGGAGGGCUGCCAGUGGCACAUCGUCCUCCUACCCUGGGUGGGCGGACGCCUGGCUGAUUCUUAGCAGUGGAAUCCCAUGCGGUGAAUAAUCCUGUGUCACUCAUUACAGAAAUCAAGUCUCUGUGAUGAGAUCUUCCUCUUUCUGGUUGCAAGGCAAUGGAGUGUUUCUUUAUCCCUGCCACUGAGCAGGGAGCAGGGCUCGUCCUCCACAAGUGACCUGGCAGUGCCCUGGGGGUUCGGCUUCUAGGGGUCUUCUCCUGGACCGCCCACAUCCCCAGUGCUGGCCCCGUGUCCCUGGCCCGAAGGUGGAGGGUAAGGUUAAGGGAGGCAGGGGUACAGUUAUGGGACAGGAGGCCUCGAAUCAGAGCAGGAGGGGCCUGCUGGAGCCUCCCGUGCCCGCGCAGGGGGAGGGCUUGGUCUGUGGAAGGAGGACCGGGGAGUCUGGGCUGGGCGCCCCGGGGAGGGAGCAUCAGCAUGACAUGGGUCCAGUGUCCAGCUGGCCUCUGUCCAUGCUCCAGGCCCCAUGGGCAGGUUGGAGGGGAGAAUGGGCAGUGGCCCUUCGUGUCCUCAUCCCAUUGAGUGUCUGUCUCUGAAACCGGGGCGAGGAGGAGGAAGCCAAGGACAAGCUGGGAAGAACAGGCCUUUCCACAAUGAAGACUGAUCUCUUCUGAACUGAAUACAAAACAAAGUCUCUCCUGUAGCUCUCAAGUGCUCUGUGUGUUCUCUCUAAGCCACACCAUCUAGACAACCUGGACCCAUAGGUGUGAUGGGAACCGCGUUGUUCCAGGCCACACGUGUGCAGACCAGUGUCCCACACUGUAUAGCGUCAUCAGGCACAGACUCUGAGAACGGAAAGGAACCUUCGAGCUUGUUGACGGUGAGCCAUGGUCCCCAAAACACGCCAGCAUCCUCCUCCCUGGGACCUGUGAUUUUGAUACCUUCUAUAGCAAAAGGGAUUUUACGGGUGUCAUUAGGUUGUGGACUUUCAGGUGGGAAGAUUAUCCUGGAUUAUUUUAGUGGGCCCCCAAUAGAGUUGGGGCUUCCAAGGUGGCUCAGUGGUAGAGAUCCCACCUGCCAGUGUAGGAGAUGUAGGAGACUUGGGUUCUGUCCCUGGGUUGGGAACAUCCCCUGGAGAAGGAAAUGGCAACCCACUCCAGUAUUCUUGCCUGGGAAAUCCCAUGGACAGAGGAGCCUGGCAGGCUACAGUCCAUGGGGUUGCCAAAAGUUGGACACAACUGAGCCACUGAGCAUGCACACACAAAUAGGGCCGAGAGAGUCCUCAAAAGUGAGAGAGAAGGUCAAGAAAAAUGGCCGCCUGCUGCUGGGAGCAGGGAGGAGACGGUGAUGUGCUGGGGAGAAGUGAGGACCACUACGGAAGAUGGGAAAGGUGAGAGAAGGAGCGUCCCCUGGGCCUUCAGUAGGACCGCGGCACUGCUGACCCCUUGACUGCCACCUCCUGGAGCCCACCGUGGACUUCUGACCUCCAGAGCGGUUAGAAGAUCAGAUGGUUUUUUUUUAGCCAUAGUUGGUGAUGACUUAAUAUAGCAGAUGAAGUAAACUAAUAACAGCACUCACUGAACUCAGCCCUCUCUUUUUGUAGCGGAGGAGGCGGAAGCCUGUUUGCAGUAUAUAUUUUCAUUUUUAGUUUGCUAACUUGUAAAGUAUUUAUCGGAAGGGAAUGACUUUUCUCCUGCCUCUGUGAAUAAGACAUAGAGUUUUUUAUUGUCCCGCUGACCAGAGCAGGCCUUAGAAUUUUCAGUUUUACGGGGUCUGAUUACUAAAUCAAUCCUGUGGAUUUGAUGCCCGUAUUUUCUUGAAUCAAAAUGAAAGAACUCUGAUCUGAUAGGAAUGAGUGAGACUCCCCUGGUGGCACAGUGGGUAAGAAGCUGCCUGCCAAUGCAGGGGAAAUGGGUUCGAUCCCUGAUCUGGGAAGAUUCCACAUGCCGCGGAGCAACUGAACCUGUGUGCCACAACUAUUGAACUUGUCCUCUGGAUCCUGGGAACUGCAACUACUGAGCCCAUGCACCACAGCUACUGAAGCCCGUGCACCCGAGAGCCUGUGCUCUGCAACAAGAGGAGCCACUGCAAUGAGAAGCCUGUGUGCCACAACUGGAGAGGAGCCCCUGCUCACUGCAACUAAAGAAAGCCCUCACAAAGCACCGAAGACCCAGCACAACCCAAAAUAAAUGAAUAAAUAAAAUUAUAUAGAAAAGAAUGAGUGGGUCUAUGGGGAUACUAUAGCAGAGGCUGUCCCAUUAAACUGGGGACCAGUAGCCCAUGUUGUAAUACACAUCACAGUGGCCAAGCCACAGCAUCCUUGCCUGCAGCUCCCCUCUCAUCACCUCCAACCUCUGCCUCCACAUCAUUGUAAGGAAGGAAGAAAAGGGAGGUGGGGGGGAAUCUUGCUGCUAGGUUUGCAGAGGAUGCUGCUGAUUUCUGAACCAGAACGGACUUUGAAAAGUCCUCCUGAGUCUAAAAAGAUGAAGACUCAUUGCUUCAACCCUUGCAGUAAACAUCCUGGGUAACCUUCACCUCAAACCUCAGAGGUUUCGAGAUGGCACAGAACAUGCUGUGCCGUGUUUAUUUCCCAUCACUUGGUGGAGAAACUCUGCACGGGAAGGAGGAGGCAGAAAUGAAGCCCUGGAGGUACUGCAGGGUGGGUUCCAGACCUCCGCAAUAAUGUGAAUCUCGCAAUAAAGUGAGUCACGUGGAUUUUUUUUUUUUUGGUUUCGCAGUGUAUAUAAAAGUGUAAUACACUCUACUGUAACCUGUUAAGCAUGCAAUAACAUUAUGUCUAAAAAAAAGUACAUCCCUUCACUGAAAAAUACUUUCUUGCUAAAAAAUGCUAACCAUCAUGUGAGCCUUCAGUGGGUCAUCACUUUUUUGCAAUAGUCCUGUCAAAGAUCAC